RNAcentral lists this transfer RNA (63 nucleotides) under Loxodonta africana (African savanna elephant). It matches the Rfam family "tRNA", at positions 5 to 66 of the family's 71-position model. From Rfam's summary of the family: Transfer RNA (tRNA) molecules are approximately 80 nucleotides in length. Their secondary structure includes four short double-helical elements and three loops (D, anti-codon, and T loops). Lineage: Eukaryota; Metazoa; Chordata; Mammalia; Proboscidea; Elephantidae. The record is from Rfam by way of RNAcentral.
CUGAAGCAAAUGGUGAAUGCAUCUGGCUGCUAACCUGAAGGUUGGAGGUUCAAGUCCACCCAG